AAGCUUAAUGGGAACUUCACAUCAGCAUGCACUGACGUGGCUGUUGGGAGUGUCACAUGUAUUCAGGAAUAUUAAUACAAGUUGGAAUAUGUAUUAUUCAUUGCAGCAAAGGUUUAUUUGCCUACUAGUUAGUUUUGUACUUAAUUUAUUUCUUUUAUAUUUAUUUGGCAGGAACAGUCAAGUAUCCUGUCAGCGCCACAGCUGUGCCUGACAGGACUAAAGAAGGAAUGAUUGAGGACAUGGCUGAAGCUCGCAGAAGUGGAGUGAAUGUUCGGGGAGUGAAGGGGCCAUCCCCAUUGAUAAACUUCUUGGGAUUUGAUAUUGUGUGGGGCUUCACCCCUGACUACAUGCACUGUGUUUUGCUUGGAGUGACAUGCCAGUUUAUGGAGUUGUGAUUGUCUGGUGUUGGGGCUCCGUAUUACAUUAGAUCACCUCAAUGUGUUAGGACAAUCGAUGAAAGGCUGUGUGCCAUAAAGCCACCACAAAGCAUCACACGCCUGCCGAGAUCUGUUCAGCUGAGAAAGUUUUGGAAGGCAAAACAAAAUCGGAAGUGCCCUUCCACUCUGCGAAGAAGGAUGACCAGCGAAGCUGUGUAUGUGGGCCCCUUAAUGGCAUACUACACCGCCGCGGGUCGGCCCGGCAUUGCACUAUCCUCGGGAUCGGCCCACAUAUGGGGAGUGCUUAAUGCCUGCUUCACCUCCGCCGCGGGUUGGCGGAGGUGAUGCUUAGAACAUUUAAUGUCACGGUUUUCAGGAAAUUAGUAUUCAGCAAAGUUUAAACUAGCUACAACAGCCCAUUUAAAACUCACAAUGUUUGUGUUGUUCAGUUCCUCUGGAUAAAUUGAAUGUUAAUAACAAAUGAGUGUUACUUCCUCUGGUAUCUUUGAAUGUUACUAAUAAAUGUUUCCGAAAACAUCCUUAUAGUACAACGCUAAAGACCACGCGGCUGGCAACUUCACAUUGUAGCACCUUUCGACAUUGAUGUCAUCAACUUGACGAGUUCUGUGGUUCUGGGGCUUCCCGUGAUGUCCCCCGAGCUCUGUUGACAUUACCGAUCGGGAUGUUUGUGCAUAGAGCAUGAUGGGAGACGACGAUACUACUUUGUUGCCAGGCUGUUUGCCAGAUGCAGUUACCAGGUGGCAUGCUGAAGAGAUUUUGCUUUGCAACUUUAUUUCCGGCAUGUUACUGUGGCUUAUGAGGUCUCAACACAGAAAACUGAAUAAUUAUUGGUGUAGUUACUUCCUACAACAUGAAUAUUUUGCUGACCAUAAAUGUGAAAUAAAAUUCUAUCAUUAGAAUUAACCUAGAACAAGAUUGUAGAAUCAGUGACCUUAAAACCAUGCUGCAUGCUUAGGAAAUGAAUUGCAAUUUAUAUGUUUUGACUCUUUUACCUUGAGUAUGCCACUACGGCAUGGAACGUGAAAACUAAUAAACUUGUUCCCUGAAAGCUAUUCAGAACCGCUUUGUUACUUGCAUGUAAAAGAAUGUCUUAUUGUCAGGACCAUUUCAAAGGUCACUGUACUUUUUUCUAGACUAUCUCUUCGACUGAAUCUUGUGUGGAAAUACAGGAUUCCUGGUUGUGCUAUAUUAUGUCCUCCUAGAACUUGCAUUCUCUGUUAUUGUUUAUACAUCUUUUCUUCCCUUCUACAAGAGAUUACUUUAUUUUGCAUGAUCACGUUUGCUUUGUUGGCAUUAUUUUGUAUUGUUUGUGUAUUCACGGCGGUAUUUUGCAUUGGUAUUUCAUGUAUUAUUGUUUCUUUUGUUUUUUGUUCCUGUCUUGGCCGUGUAAUAAUAUAAUUUGUUUUGUCUACUACCUGAGAGGACGUCCCUCUACAGCUUUAUGCUCAAGGAACUCCUUCUAUAUCUUCAAUUUUAUUACACAUAUUAGCAGCUCAGUAAAACAUGAUUCUGAUUCUGACAAGUGGACAUAUCUAAAGCCGCCCACAUGCAUUUCAUGGUAAUGUCAGUGUUGUACUUAUUAAAGAUAGUUCUUUUUCUCACGUAGGAUAAACAAAUAAAACAAAGGUCCUGAAGCGAUGUUUGAGCCCCUGAUAACGUUUUCCCUGAAGCAUGCAGAAACCUGGUACUGCAACCAAUGACAUGAAUAUUUGUGGUAGAACACCAUCUAAAACAUUUCUUGAACAUUUUCUUGUUCUUUGUUUCCAAGUUCCUUUUUUGUCAGUGUUUAUUCUUUGAUAUAUUAUGUUUGCAUUGAACAAGCAGUGUGUUGGUAAUCUGUUCCUUAUGUAUAAACAGUAUUUAGGUACAGUCUCUUUUACAUUGUAUAUUUUUGUAUGGAUUUAAUCAUGUAACCCCUGCCCUUGUGCCUUUGGAUAAAUGUAGUCACAUAAAUAAAAAUUUCGAGCUGUUCAUCU
Molecule: non-coding RNA, 2374 nt
Organism: Dermacentor albipictus
Lineage: Eukaryota; Metazoa; Arthropoda; Arachnida; Ixodida; Ixodidae
Source: RefSeq, a predicted model, not a curated record